RNAcentral lists this unclassified non-coding RNA (229 nucleotides) under plant metagenome. RNAcentral's name for it is "partial contains small subunit ribosomal RNA, internal transcribed spacer 1, and 5.8S ribosomal RNA". The stretch from base 181 to 229 matches the Rfam family "5.8S ribosomal RNA", at positions 1 to 49 of the family's 154-position model. The record is from RNAcentral.
UUUCCGUAGGUGAACCUGCGGAAGGAUCAUUAACAAAUUCCAAAACUCGUCUUCCGGACGUUCCUGGGUUGGUCUCCUUCACAAGAGGAAAUCAGCCUGGGCCGUUCGGAUUACAAACAUACAUUUACAUUACUGGACAACCACAGGUAACCAAACCAAGGAUAAACCAAUGGUAAAAACAACUUUUAACAAUGGAUCUCUUGGCUCUUGCAUCAAUGAAGAACGCAGC